GACGAACGCUGGCGGCGUGCCUAAUACAUGCAAGUCGAGCGAAGUUUUUCUGGUGCUUGCACCGGAAAAACUUAGCGGCGAACGGGUGAGUAACACGUAAAGAACCUGCCUCAUAGACUGGGACAACUAUUGGAAACGAUAGCUAAUACCGGAUAACAGCAUUAACUGCAUGGUUGAUGUUUAAAAGUUGGUUUUGCUAACACUAUGAGAUGGCUUUGCGGUGCAUUAGCUAGUUGGUGGGGUAAAGGCCUACCAAGGCGACGAUGCAUAGCCGACCUGAGAGGGUGAUCGGCCACACUGGGACUGAGACACGGCCCAGACUCCUACGGGAGGCAGCAGUAGGGAAUCUUCCGCAAUGGGCGAAAGCCUGACGGAGCAACGCCGCGUGAGUGAAGAAGGAUUUCGGUUCGUAAAGCUCUGUUGUUAGGGAAGAAUGAUUGUGUAGUAACUAUACACAGUAGAGACGGUACCUAACCAGAAAGCCGCGGCUAACUACGUG
RNAcentral lists this ribosomal RNA (499 nucleotides) under uncultured bacterium. RNAcentral's name for it is "partial 16S ribosomal RNA". It matches the Rfam family "Bacterial small subunit ribosomal RNA", at positions 28 to 507 of the family's 1533-position model. The record is from RNAcentral.